GACGAACGCUGGCGGCGUGCUUAACACAUGCAAGUCGAACGGAAAGGCCCUGCUUUUGUGGGGUGCUCGAGUGGCGAACGGGUGAGUAACACGUGAGUAACCUGCCCUUGACUUUGGGAUAACUUCAGGAAACUGGGGCUAAUACCGGAUAGGAGCUCCUGCUGCAUGGUGGUGGUUGGAAAGUUUCGGCGGUUGGGGAUGGACUCGCGGCUUAUCAGCUUGUUGGUGGGGUAGUGGCUUACCAAGGCUUUGACGGGUAGCCGGCCUGGGAGGGUGACCGGCCACAUUGGGACUGAGAUACGGCCCAGACUCCUACGGGAGGCAGCAGGGGGGAAUAUUGCACAAUGGGCGGAAGCCUGAUGCAGCAACGCCGCGUGCGGGAUGACGGCCUUCGGGUUGUAAACCGCUUUCGCCUGUGACGAAGCGUGAGUGACGGUAAUGGGUAAAGAAGCACCGGCUAACUACGUG
Molecule: ribosomal RNA, 468 nt
Filed under: uncultured bacterium
Lineage: Bacteria
Description: partial 16S ribosomal RNA
Rfam family: Bacterial small subunit ribosomal RNA
Source: RNAcentral